Pezoporus occidentalis (night parrot) is the source of this 225-nucleotide long non-coding RNA. RefSeq lists it as uncharacterized. The transcript is spliced from 2 exons. Lineage: Eukaryota; Metazoa; Chordata; Aves; Psittaciformes; Psittacidae. The record is from RefSeq and is a predicted model, not a curated record.
UGUCAUUUGAAGAAACCUCCUUUCUUUCACAUUAGAGACUCUCAGAGAAAAAGCUGACAAGCAGCCCAUUACUCUGACAUGUGACAGAGCAAAGACAUAGAAGAGCUCACUGGUGUAACCAUUCUUUUUAAAACAGACUCACCCAAGGUAGCACUGCAGAUGUAUUUUGCUUUUGCUGUGAAUGUUGACCAAAUUACAUAAAAAUAAAAAAGCUCCAUGAAGAAU